UACGGAGGGUGCAAGCGUUGCUCGGAAUUAUUGGGCGUAAAGGGUAGGUAGGCGGUCUCAUUUGUCUGGGGUGAAAGCCUUGAGCUUAACUCAAGAAGUGCCCCAGAAACGGUGAGACUAGAGUCUUGGAGAGGGUCGUGGAAUUCCCGGUGUAGCGGUGAAAUGCGUAGAGAUCGGGAGGAACACCAGAGGCGAAGGCGGCGACCUGGACAAGUACUGACACUCAACUACGAAAGCGUGGGGAGCAAACAGG
This 253-nucleotide ribosomal RNA is filed under the name uncultured bacterium. Its description in RNAcentral is "partial 16S ribosomal RNA". It matches the Rfam family "Bacterial small subunit ribosomal RNA", at positions 524 to 776 of the family's 1533-position model. The record is from RNAcentral.